Ostrea edulis (European flat oyster) is the source of this 1178-nucleotide long non-coding RNA. RefSeq lists it as uncharacterized. The record is from RefSeq and is a predicted model, not a curated record. Lineage: Eukaryota; Metazoa; Mollusca; Bivalvia; Ostreida; Ostreidae. The transcript has 4 exons.
UUGGCCAAGUUGUCCAUAAGUCUUUUGAUUUCAUUGGUGUUUUAGUUUUGUGUCUUGCGUUUUUAUUGGUUUUGGGAUUUGUUCCCUCCAAAAGUUCUUUGUGUCAGUUCAUUCUUUGUCUGAAAUUUGAAGUGACCAGUCCAUAAAUCAGUGUAUAAGUUUUGAGUUGACAUAGACCUAAUAGUACUACCUGAGACUGACUUUUCCUCUCAAUCGUGUGGACCCAGUCAACUGCGUCUUGGUUUCCAAUAUCUUCCAGAGCGUCAACGAGAUUCGUUAGAGCUUUCAUGCGGUCUUCUUGUCGUUCACGUGCCACGAUUAACAUCUGAUAGUACAACAUUGCGAUGGCAAAACUCCAACCACGUGUAAAGAAAACAGCUAUAGUUGUUACACCCUGUUGACUGAAACUGCGAAACAAUUUUGAAAAGAAUGUAAAAGUUUAAGAACUGCAAUCGCAAGUCCUACCUGGAAUGGAAACAGUGCUUCUUUCUGAAACAAUAAUUUCCUUGAUACAAUCAGAAGGAUCAGAAACAAGUUAUACAACUUACAUAUUCUUAUUCGCAAGAUUUACAAAAUUUCCUUUGCUUGAUAUUGAAAAUUAUUUUCCCUUGGCAUAUUGGAUAUUUCCAUCAAAUGAUGUACAUGUGGCUCCACCUUCAUGUGGCUUAUCAAAACAAAUUGUUCAAAGAACAAAAACUAUGUUGAUUACCACUUGAUGCAAAUUAAUUUAAUCAAUUACCAAAGAAAAUAUACUUUUUAAAGAUGUCAUACUUACAAAAACAAAAGUUUAUAUCAACAUCAGAAAAUUGUACAUUCUCAUUAAACGGCAUAAUAAAAGUAUAUAAUCAAAGUACUGAAGGUACUGAAACGAGGUGACGUUUGGCAGUGACUUCAGCUUGUCUUUGGACAAGAGGCAUCAUUUCUACAUUUGCCAUUGAAACUACAUACAAUUCAAAAGCUGCACCCUCUUCACGCCCAAAGAGCUUUCUCAAAAGAGCUUGUAAAUUUGAAAAACCACUGACUGUCAACAAAACAGAGCAACCGUCUGCCUUAACAUUUGCGUUUGCAUCACGUGCAUGUGGAUCGAAAACAUGGAACAGAUUGCCUGAGCAGAAUACAGCAACAGAACUGCCAUUGCAUAUAAAUAUACCUCCAUCUUUGGUAUUUGCGAAGCAUAA